Pongo abelii (Sumatran orangutan) is the source of this 148-nucleotide unclassified non-coding RNA. It matches the Rfam family "Metazoan signal recognition particle RNA". From Rfam's summary of the family: The signal recognition particle (SRP) is a universally conserved ribonucleoprotein. The record is from Ensembl. Lineage: Eukaryota; Metazoa; Chordata; Mammalia; Primates; Hominidae.
GCUGGGCACGGUGGCGCAUGCCUGUAAUCUCAGCUACUAGGGAGGCUGAGGCAGGAGAAUCACUUGAACCCAGGAGACAGAGGUUGCAGUGAGCCAAGAUCACGCCACUGCACUCCAGCCUGGGCAACAGAGUGAGACUCCGUCUCAA